This 489-nucleotide ribosomal RNA is filed under the name uncultured bacterium. Its description in RNAcentral is "bacterial SSU rRNA". It matches the Rfam family "Bacterial small subunit ribosomal RNA", at positions 28 to 507 of the family's 1533-position model. The record is from RNAcentral.
GAUGAACGCUGGCGGUGUGCCUUAUACAUGCAUGUCGAACGAGGCGUAGCAAUACGUCUAGUGGCAAAAUGGGUGAGUAAUAAAUAGGUAACCAACCCUUAAGACGGGGAUACCCCAUCGAAAGAUGGAAUAAUACCCGAUAAUGUCCCUUCCGGUGCGCUGGAGGGGAAGAAAGAUGGCGCAAGCUAUCACUUUUGGACGGGCUUAUUUCCUAUCAGCUAGUUGGUGAGGUAACGGCUUACCAAGGCUACGACGGGUAGCUGGUCUGAGAGGACGGUCAGCCACAUUGGGACUGCGACACGGCCCAGACUCCUACGGGAGGCAGCAGUCGGGAAUAUUCGGCCAAUGCGCGAAAGCGUGACCGAGCGACACCGCGUGGGCGACGAAGAUCUUAGGAUUGUAAAGCCCUUUUGCCAGGGAAGAAUACGCUGGAGACAAUAUCAAUAGCGUUUGACGGUACCUGGCGAAUAAGCCGCAGCAAACUACGUG